Molecule: ribosomal RNA, 468 nt
Filed under: uncultured bacterium
Lineage: Bacteria
Description: partial 16S ribosomal RNA
Rfam family: Bacterial small subunit ribosomal RNA
Source: RNAcentral
GACGAACGCUGGCGGCGUGCUUAACACAUGCAAGUCGAACGGAAAGGCCCUGCUUUUGUGGGGUGCUCGAGUGGCGAACGGGUGAGUAACACGUGAGUAACCUGCCCUUGACUUUGGGAUAACUUCAGGAAACUGGGGCUAAUACCUGAUAGGAGCUCCUGCUGCAUGGUGGGGGUUGGAAAGUUUCGGCGGUUGGGGAUGGACUCGCGGCUUAUCAGCUUGUUGGUGGGGUAGUGGCUUACCAAGGCUUUGACGGGUAGCCGGCCUGAGAGGGUGACCGGCCACAUGGGGACUGCGAUACGGCCCAGACUCCUACGGGAGGCAGCAGAGGGGAAUAUUGCACAAUGGGCGGAAGCCUGAUGCAGCAACGCCGCGUGCGGGAUGACGGCCUUCGGGUUGUAAACCGCUUUCGCCUGUGACGAAGCGUGAGUGACGGUAAUGGGUAAAGAAGCACCGGCUAACUACGUG